GCAAGUCGAGGGGCAGCAUUGGUACUUGUACCAGAUGGCGACCGGCGCACGGGUGCGUAACGCGUAUGCAACCUACCUUAUACUGGAGGAUAUCCUUUUGAAAAGAAGAUUAAUACUCCAUGGUAUCUAAUAGCUGCAUAGUUAUAAGAUUAAAGAUUUAUCGGUAUAAGAUGGGCAUGCGUGACAUUAGCUAGUUGGUAAGGUAACGGCUUACCAAGGCUACGAUGUCUAGGGGUUCUGAGAGGAUGAUC
This 251-nucleotide ribosomal RNA is filed under the name uncultured bacterium. RNAcentral's name for it is "partial 16S ribosomal RNA". It matches the Rfam family "Bacterial small subunit ribosomal RNA", at positions 57 to 305 of the family's 1533-position model. The record is from RNAcentral.